UUCAUUGUUUCAUUUUCUUGGAAUUUUGAUACACAACUACCGGCCGAAAAGAUGCAUGUAUUACAAAUUUUGAUGCCUCUGUUUGUGUUAUGCUUUCUGGUGAUUAUUGUUCAGUGCAAAGAAUAUGAAAGAUUCAAGAGAAGCCCUCAAGACAGUGGACCAGAUUCAGAAUCAUCUAUGACAACCGAUGGAUCAGAUUCAGAAUCAUCUAUGACAACCAGUGAGCAACCCACUGACAGUCCAAUCCAAUUUUUGGUUGCGAUUGUAGAACAAGCAGUAAAAUUUUAUUUCAGAGCAAAUUUCGCAGUACCAUUAGAAGUGAUAAAACUGUUAGAAAUGGCAUACGAAAUGUAUAUAUAGUUUUUAUUUAAUGUUGGUGUUGUCAAAAAUGCAAAUAAAUGCGUUGUUCUAUUUUC
Long non-coding RNA from Parasteatoda tepidariorum (common house spider), 416 nucleotides. Lineage: Eukaryota; Metazoa; Arthropoda; Arachnida; Araneae; Theridiidae. The record is from RefSeq and is a predicted model, not a curated record.